AAUAGAUACCCUGGUAGUCCACACCGUAAACGAUGAGUGCUAAGUGUUGGGGGGUUUCCGCCCCUCAGUGCUGCAGCUAACGCAUUAAGCACUCCGCCUGGGGAGUACGGUCGCAAGACUGAAACUCAAAGGAAUUGACGGGGGCCCGCACAAGCGGUGGAGCAUGUGGUUUAAUUCGAAGCAACGCGAAGAACCUUACCAGGUCUUGACAUCCCGGUGACCACUAUGGAGACAUAGUUUCCCCUUCGGGGGCAACGGUGACAGGUGGUGCAUGGUUGUCGUCAGCUCGUGUCGUGAGAUGUUGGGUUAAGUCCCGCAACGAGCGCAACCCUUAUUCUUAGUUGCCAUCAUUCAGUUGGGCACUCUAAGGAGACUGCCGGUGAUAAACCGGAGGAAGGUGGGGAUGACGUCAAAUCAUCAUGCCCCUUAUGACCUGGGCUACACACGUGCUACAAUGGACGGUACAAACGGUUGCCAACCCGCGAGGGGGAGCUAAUCCGAUAAAACCGUUCUCAGUUCGGAUUGUAGGCUGCAACUCGCCUAC
Molecule: ribosomal RNA, 544 nt
Filed under: uncultured bacterium
Lineage: Bacteria
Description: bacterial SSU rRNA
Rfam family: Bacterial small subunit ribosomal RNA
Source: RNAcentral